RNAcentral lists this transfer RNA (86 nucleotides) under Candidatus Omnitrophota bacterium. RNAcentral's name for it is "tRNA-Leu". It matches the Rfam family "tRNA". From Rfam's summary of the family: Transfer RNA (tRNA) molecules are approximately 80 nucleotides in length. Their secondary structure includes four short double-helical elements and three loops (D, anti-codon, and T loops). Further hydrogen bonds mediate the characteristic L-shaped molecular structure. tRNAs have two regions of fundamental functional importance: the anti-codon, which is responsible for specific mRNA codon recognition, and the 3' end, to which the tRNAs corresponding amino acid is attached (by aminoacyl-tRNA synthetases). tRNAs cope with the degeneracy of the genetic code in two manners: having more than one tRNA (with a specific anti-codon) for a particular amino acid; and 'wobble' base-pairing, i.e. permitting non-standard base-pairing at the 3rd anti-codon position. Lineage: Bacteria; Pseudomonadati; Candidatus Omnitrophota. The record is from RNAcentral.
GGGCGAGUGGUGGAAUGGCAUACACGACAGACUUAAAAUCUGUUGGCCGCAAGGCCUUGAGGGUUCAACUCCCUCCUCGCCCACCA